This 195-nucleotide unclassified non-coding RNA is filed under the name Ascomycota sp. Its description in RNAcentral is "partial contains small subunit ribosomal RNA, internal transcribed spacer 1, and 5.8S ribosomal RNA". The stretch from base 1 to 47 matches the Rfam family "Eukaryotic small subunit ribosomal RNA", at positions 1785 to 1831 of the family's 1831-position model. Lineage: Eukaryota; Fungi; Ascomycota. The record is from RNAcentral.
AAAGUCGUAACAAGGUCUCCGUAGGUGAACCUGCGGAGGGAUCAUUACUGAAUGGCCCUAUGGGUCUUCAACCACUCAAACCUGUGGAAGCAAGAUGUGCUUCGGCGCUUCGGCGUCGCUUUUAUGCAGAAGUCGGUUUUGUGUCUCAUUUAUAACAGAAUUUAAAAACUUUCAACAACGGAUCUCUUGGCUCUC